GUGAACGCUGGCGGUAGGCCUAACACAUGCAAGUCGAACGGCAGCACAGUAAGAGCUUGCUCUUACGGGUGGCGAGUGGCGGACGGGUGAGGAAUACAUCGGAAUCUACUUUUUCGUGGGGGAUAACGUAGGGAAACUUACGCUAAUACCGCAUACGACCUACGGGUGAAAGCAGGGGAUCUUCGGACCUUGCGCGAUUGAAUGAGCCGAUGUCGGAUUAGCUAGUUGGCGGGGUAAAGGCCCACCAAGGCGACGAUCCGUAGCUGGUCUGAGAGGAUGAUCAGCCACACUGGAACUGAGACACGGUCCAGACUCCUACGGGAGGCAGCAGUGGGGAAUAUUGGACAAUGGGCGCAAGCCUGAUCCAGCCAUACCGCGUGGGUGAAGAAGGCCUUCGGGUUGUAAAGCCCUUUUGUUGGGAAAGAAAAGCAGCAGGUUGAUACCCCGCUGUUCUGACGGUACCCAAAGAAUAAGCACCGGCUAACUUCGUG
Molecule: ribosomal RNA, 491 nt
Filed under: uncultured bacterium
Lineage: Bacteria
Description: partial 16S ribosomal RNA
Rfam family: Bacterial small subunit ribosomal RNA
Source: RNAcentral